Molecule: non-coding RNA, 26 nt
Filed under: Rattus norvegicus (Norway rat)
Lineage: Eukaryota; Metazoa; Chordata; Mammalia; Rodentia; Muridae
Source: RNAcentral
UCCUUAACGUCAUUCUGUGGAUCUGA